RNAcentral lists this ribosomal RNA (253 nucleotides) under uncultured bacterium. Its description in RNAcentral is "partial 16S ribosomal RNA". It matches the Rfam family "Bacterial small subunit ribosomal RNA", at positions 524 to 776 of the family's 1533-position model. The record is from RNAcentral.
UACGGAGGGGGCUAGCGUUGUUCGGAAUUACUGGGCGUAAAGCGUACGUAGGCGGCUUUGUAAGUUAGAGGUGAAAGCCCGGAGCUCAACUCCGGAAUUGCCUUUAAGACUGCAUCGCUUGAAUCAUGGAGAGGUUAGUGGAAUUCCGAGUGUAGCGGUGAAAUGCGUAGAUAUCUGGAGGAAUACCGGUGGCGAAGGCGGCAUCCUGGACCGAGACUGACGCUGAGGAGCGAAAGCUAGGGGAGCAAACAGG